GGCCAGGUAGCUCAGUUGGUUAGAGCAUUGUCCCAGUGUGUCAAGGUUGCAGGUUCAAUCCCUGGUCAGGGCA
This 73-nucleotide transfer RNA is filed under the name Myotis davidii. It matches the Rfam family "tRNA". From Rfam's summary of the family: Transfer RNA (tRNA) molecules are approximately 80 nucleotides in length. Their secondary structure includes four short double-helical elements and three loops (D, anti-codon, and T loops). Lineage: Eukaryota; Metazoa; Chordata; Mammalia; Chiroptera; Vespertilionidae. The record is from Rfam by way of RNAcentral.